GAUGAACGCUGGCGGCGUGCCUAAUACAUGCAAGUCGAGCGAACAGACGAGGAGCUUGCUCCUCUGACGUUAGCGGCGGACGGGUGAGUAACACGUGGAUAACCUACCUAUAAGACUGGGAUAACUUCGGGAAACCGGAGCUAAUACCGGAUAAUAUAUUGAACCGCAUGGUUCAAUAGUGAAAGACGGUUUUGCUGUCACCUAUAGAUGGAUCCGCGCCGCAUUAGCUAGUUGGUAAGGUAUCGGCUUACCAAGGUAACGAUGCGUAGCCGACCUGAGAGGGUGAUCGGCCACACUGGAACUGAGACACGGUCCAGACUCCUACGGGAGGCAGCAGUAGGGAAUCUUCCGCAAUGGGCGAAAGCCUGACGGAGCAACGCCGCGUGAGUGAUGAAGGUCUUCGGAUCGUAAAACUCUGUUAUUAGGGAAGAACAAAUGUGUAAGUAACUAUGCACGUCUUGACGGUACCUAAUCAGAAAGCCACGGCUAACUACGUG
Molecule: ribosomal RNA, 497 nt
Filed under: uncultured bacterium
Lineage: Bacteria
Description: partial 16S ribosomal RNA
Rfam family: Bacterial small subunit ribosomal RNA
Source: RNAcentral